RNAcentral lists this ribosomal RNA (525 nucleotides) under uncultured bacterium. RNAcentral's name for it is "bacterial SSU rRNA". It matches the Rfam family "Bacterial small subunit ribosomal RNA", at positions 353 to 896 of the family's 1533-position model. The record is from RNAcentral.
AGUGGGGAAUCUUAGACAAUGGGGGCAACCCUGAUCUAGCCAUGCCGCGUGAUCGAUGAAGGCCUUAGGGUUGUAAAGAUCUUUCAGUGGGGAAGAUAAUGACGGUACCCACAGAAGAAGCCCCGGCUAACUCCGUGCCAGCAGCCGCGGUAAUACGGAGGGGGCUAGCGUUGUUCGGAAUUACUGGGCGUAAAGCGCACGUAGGCGGAUCGGAAAGUUGGGGGUGAAAUCCCGGGGCUCAACCCCGGAACUGCCUUCAAAACUCCCGGUCUUGAGUUCGAGAGAGGUGAGUGGAAUUCCGAGUGUAGAGGUGAAAUUCGUAGAUAUUCGGAGGAACACCAGUGGCGAAGGCGGCUCACUGGCUCGAUACUGACGCUGAGGUGCGAAAGUGUGGGGAACAAACAGGAUUAGAUACCCUGGUAGUCCACACCGUAAACGAUGAAUGCCAGUCGUCGGGCAGCAUGCUGUUCGGUGACACACCUAACGGAUUAAGCAUUCCGCCUGGGGAGUACGGCCGCAAGGUUA